RNAcentral lists this ribosomal RNA (265 nucleotides) under uncultured bacterium. Its description in RNAcentral is "partial 16S ribosomal RNA". It matches the Rfam family "Bacterial small subunit ribosomal RNA", at positions 793 to 1055 of the family's 1533-position model. The record is from RNAcentral.
GUCCACGCCCUAAACGAUGACAACUAGUUGUUGGGGAUUUAACAUCCUUAGUAACGUAGCUAACGCGUGAAGUUGUCCGCCUGGGGAGUACGGUCGCAAGAUUAAAACUCAAAGGAAUUGACGGGGGCCCGCACAAGCGGUGGAUGAUGUGGUUUAAUUCGAUGCAACGCGUAAAACCUUACCUACCCUUGACAUGCUAGGAAGCCCGAUGAGAGUUGGGUGUGCCCGAAAGGGAACCUAGACACAGGUUCUGCAUGGCUGUCGU